AGAGUUUGAUCAUGGCUCAGAACGAACGCUGGCGGCGCGCCUAAUACAUGCAAGUCGAGCGAGAAGACGUAGCAAUACGUUUGUAAAGCGGCGAACGGGUGAGGAAUACAUGGGUAACCUACCCUCGAGUGGGGAAUAACUAACCGAAAGGUUAGCUAAUACCGCAUACGGCUCCUGGUCUGCGGAUCGGGAGAGAAAGCGAUACCGUGGGUAUCGCGCUCUUGGAUGGGCUCAUGUCCUAUCAGCUUGUUGGUGAGGUAACGGCUCACCAAGGCUUCGACGGGUAGCUGGUCUGAGAGGACGAUCAGCCACACUGGCACUGCGACACGGGCCAGACUCCUACGGGAGGCAGCAGUAAGGAAUAUUGCGCAAUGGGCGACAGCCUGACGCAGCGACGCCGCGUGGGGGAUGAAGGUCUUCGGAUUGUAAACCCCUUUCGGCAGGGAAGAUGGAACGGGUAACCGUUCGGACGGUACCUGCAGAAGCAGCCACGGCUAACUUCGUGCCAGCAGCCGCGGUAAUACGAAGGUGGCAAGCGUUGUUCGGAUUUACUGGGCGUACAGGGAGCGUAGGCGGUUGGGUAAGCCCUCCGUGAAAUCUCCGGGCCUAACCCGGAAAGUGCGGAGGGGACUGCUCGGCUAGAGGAUGGGAGAGGAGCGCGGAAUUCCCGGUGUAGCGGUGAAAUGCGUAGAGAUCGGGAGGAAGGCCGGUGGCGAAGGCGGCGCUCUGGAACAUUUCUGACGCUGAGGCUCGAAAGCGUGGGGAGCAAACAGGAUUAGAUACCCUGGUAGUCCACGCCU
Molecule: ribosomal RNA, 800 nt
Filed under: uncultured bacterium
Lineage: Bacteria
Description: bacterial SSU rRNA
Rfam family: Bacterial small subunit ribosomal RNA
Source: RNAcentral